UAUCCUCUAUCGUGUUUAAGAAGAAGAGGAUAAUGAAGCUUUUUAUGAAAUAAUAUUUGGGUUUAUUUUAUUUUAUUUUCUCCUCAAAGAUUCAAAUUUACGUCAACGUCCGUUACGUUGGUGACGUCACCGCGAGCGCGAGAAGUCGAAGUGAGGAGCAGAAAGCGUUGUUAGUGUUAGUUCUGGCCCGUUUGGACCCAAACUAAAGUGUAUCAGUAUGAAGCAGGCGGAGACGGCGCACUGAUUCACUCUCAGAGCUCGAUUCACUAAUGACCGAAUCACCGAGGAACCGACCAAAGAUAAAUCACACCCGCACAGAGAAGAAGAUGAGCUGGAGUGGGGCAAAGAGAACUGCAUUCAGAUCAAACGGAUACAAGAGAGGUGGCCGAGUUGUUUGAGGAUCUGAAGAAUCGAGUGUCGCAAUUCAACAUGCACAUCAGCGAAACUUCCUCUGACUACACCAGCGCGCACACACACACAAAUUCAUAGUGCAGGUGGCGAUUGCAGGCGCAUUUUAUCCGAACUGCUUCCUCCAGGGAACUGUGGACGAGGAGCUCGCCUCCAAGGAGCUCUAUGAAAACAACCCCAGGACCACCGUAGUGGUAUUCGGUGUGUAAUCUCCCUCCAUUUGCAUUCCUCUACUAUAAACAGCUCCAGUCUCUCUUCAGACACUGUGAUUAAGUCAAAUCCAUCUCCUUUGACAGCUCCAGGGCCUAUGUAGAGUUCUACCGCUCGUCAAUGAGAGGUUCUGGCGUUCUCCCAGAGGUCUCUCUGUCUCUCCUCCUCGCGCAGCAGAGACUUCCUCUCCAUCUCAACGUUUAACCCGCUGGAGAGGUGGAGACUUGGGCAGGGGGGUAGUGUAUCUCACACCUCAGAUAUACACGGUGUUCUUUGUGGACUUUGGAAACACUUCCAAGGUGCCAUGUAACUCUCUCUGGAACUUCCUGCUGACCGGCAAGCUCUGUAUUUCAGGUG
This is a long non-coding RNA of Ictalurus punctatus (channel catfish), 975 nucleotides long. NCBI's taxonomy places the organism in Eukaryota, Metazoa, Chordata, Actinopteri, Siluriformes, Ictaluridae. The record is from Ensembl.